GUGAACGCUGGCGGUAGGCCUAACACAUGCAAGUCGAACGGCAGCACAGUAAGAGCUUGCUCUUACGGGUGGCGAGUGGCGGACGGGUGAGGAAUACAUCGGAAUCUACUUUCUCGUGGGGGAUAACGUAGGGAAACUUACGCUAAUACCGCAUACGACCUACGGGUGAAAGCAGGGGAUCUUCGGACCUUGCGCGAUUGAAUGAGCCGAUGUCGGAUUAGCUAGUUGGCGGGGUAAAGGCCCACCAAGGCGACGAUCCGUAGCUGGUCUGAGAGGAUGAUCAGCCACACUGGAACUGAGACACGGUCCAGACUCCUACGGGAGGCAGCAGUGGGGAAUAUUGGACAAUGGGCGCAAGCCUGAUCCAGCCAUACCGCGUGGGUGAAGAAGGCCUUCGGGUUGUAAAGCCCUUUUGUUGGGAAAGAAAAGCAGCAGGUUAAUACCCCGCUGUUCUGACGGUACCCAAAGAAUAAGCACCGGCUAACUUCGUG
This 491-nucleotide ribosomal RNA is filed under the name uncultured bacterium. Its description in RNAcentral is "partial 16S ribosomal RNA". It matches the Rfam family "Bacterial small subunit ribosomal RNA", at positions 29 to 507 of the family's 1533-position model. The record is from RNAcentral.